GGAGCUUGCUCCUGGAUUCAGCGGCGGAGGGGUGAGUAAUGCCUAGGAAUCUGCCUGGUAGUGGGGGAUAACGUCCGGAAACGGGCGCUAAUACCGCAUACGUCCUGAGGGAGAAAGUGGGGGAUCUUCGGACCUCACGCUAUCAGAUGAGCCUAGGUCGGAUUAGCUAGUUGGUGGGGUAAAGGCCUACCAAGGCGACGAUCCGUAACUGGUCUGAGAGGAUGAUCAGUCACACUGGAACUGAGACACGGUCCAGACUCCUACGGGAGGCAGCAGUGGGGAAUAUUGGACAAUGGGCGAAAGCCUGAUCCAGCCAUGCCGCGUGUGUGAAGAAGGUCUUCGGAUUGUAAAGCACUUUAAGUUGGGAGGAAGGGCAGUAAGUUAAUACCUUGCUGUUUUGACGUUACCAACAGAAUAAGCACCGGCUAACUUCGUGCCAGCAGCCGCGGUAAUACGAAGGGUGCAAGCGUUAAUCGGAAUUACUGGGCGUAAAGCGCGCGUAGGUGGUUCAGCAAGUUGGAUGUGAAAUCCCCGGGCUCAACCUGGGAACUGCAUCCAAAACUACUGAGCUAGAGUACGGUAGAGGGUGGUGGAAUUUCCUGUGUAGCGGUGAAAUGCGUAGAUAUAGGAAGGAACACCAGUGGCGAAGGCGACCACCUGGACUGAUACUGACACUGAGGUGCGAAAGCGUGGGGAGCAAACAGGAU
RNAcentral lists this ribosomal RNA (707 nucleotides) under uncultured Pseudomonas sp. RNAcentral describes it as "bacterial SSU rRNA". It matches the Rfam family "Bacterial small subunit ribosomal RNA", at positions 75 to 778 of the family's 1533-position model. Lineage: Bacteria; Pseudomonadati; Pseudomonadota; Gammaproteobacteria; Pseudomonadales; Pseudomonadaceae. The record is from RNAcentral.